GAAAUGCGAUAAGUAGUGUGACUUGCAGAAUUCAGGGAAUCAUCAAAUCUUUGACCGCACAUUGCGCCCUUUGGUAUUGCAAAGGGCAUGCCUGUUCGAGCGUCAUGUGUACCCUCAAGCCUUGCUUGUUGUUGGGCGUCUUGUCUCUAGCUUUGCUGGAGACUCGCCUUAAAGUAAUUGGCAGCCGGCCUACUGGUUUCGGAGCGCAGCUCAAGUCGCACUCUCUAUCAGCAAAGGUCUAGCAUCCAUUAACCCUUUUUUUCAACUUUUGACCUCGGAUCAGGUAGGGAUACCCGCUGAACUUAA
RNAcentral lists this unclassified non-coding RNA (306 nucleotides) under uncultured fungus. RNAcentral describes it as "sequence contains ITS1". The stretch from base 1 to 105 matches the Rfam family "5.8S ribosomal RNA", at positions 50 to 154 of the family's 154-position model. The record is from RNAcentral. Lineage: Eukaryota; Fungi.